This 496-nucleotide ribosomal RNA is filed under the name uncultured bacterium. RNAcentral describes it as "partial 16S ribosomal RNA". It matches the Rfam family "Bacterial small subunit ribosomal RNA", at positions 30 to 523 of the family's 1533-position model. The record is from RNAcentral.
AUUGAACGCCGGCGGAAUGCUUUACACAUGCAAGUCGAACGGUAGAGGGGGCAACCCCUCGAGAGUGGCGAACGGGUGAGUAAUAUAUCGGAACGUGCCCAGUCGUGGGGGAUAACGUAGCGAAAGUUACGCUAAUACCGCAUACGAUCUAAGGAUGAAAGCGGGGGAUCGCAAGACCUCGCGCGAUUGGAGCGGCCGAUAUCAGAUUAGGUAGUUGGUGGGAUAAAGGCUCACCAAGCCAACGAUCUGUAGCUGGUCUGAGAGGACGACCAGCCACACUGGAACUGAGACACGGUCCAGACUCCUACGGGAGGCAGCAGUGGGGAAUUUUGGACAAUGGACGCAAGUCUGAUCCAGCCAUUCCGCGUGCAGGAUGAAGGCCCUCGGGUUGUAAACUGCUUUUGUACGGAACGAAAAGGUCUCUCUUAAUACGGGGGACUCAUAACGGUACCGUAAGAAUAAGCACCGGCUAACUACGUGCCAGCCGCCGCAGUAA